This 73-nucleotide transfer RNA is filed under the name Sus scrofa (pig). It matches the Rfam family "tRNA". From Rfam's summary of the family: Transfer RNA (tRNA) molecules are approximately 80 nucleotides in length. Their secondary structure includes four short double-helical elements and three loops (D, anti-codon, and T loops). Further hydrogen bonds mediate the characteristic L-shaped molecular structure. tRNAs have two regions of fundamental functional importance: the anti-codon, which is responsible for specific mRNA codon recognition, and the 3' end, to which the tRNAs corresponding amino acid is attached (by aminoacyl-tRNA synthetases). tRNAs cope with the degeneracy of the genetic code in two manners: having more than one tRNA (with a specific anti-codon) for a particular amino acid; and 'wobble' base-pairing, i.e. permitting non-standard base-pairing at the 3rd anti-codon position. The record is from Rfam by way of RNAcentral. Lineage: Eukaryota; Metazoa; Chordata; Mammalia; Artiodactyla; Suidae.
UCCUUGGUGGUUUAAUGGUUAAGAAUCGGGCGUUGUCACUGCUGUAGCACAGGUUUGACCCCUGACCCAGGAA